Molecule: ribosomal RNA, 242 nt
Filed under: Clostridioides difficile
Lineage: Bacteria; Bacillati; Bacillota; Clostridia; Peptostreptococcales; Peptostreptococcaceae
Description: partial 16S ribosomal RNA
Rfam family: Bacterial small subunit ribosomal RNA
Source: RNAcentral
UUGAGCGAUUUACUUCGGUAAAGAGCGGCGGACGGGUGAGUAACGCGUGGGUAACCUACCCUGUACACACGGAUAACAUACCGAAAGGUAUGCUAAUACGGGAUAAUAUAUUUGGGAGGCAUCUCUUGAAUAUCAAAGGUGAGCCAGUACAGGAUGGACCCGCGUCUGAUUAGCUAGUUGGUAAGGUAACGGCUUACCAAGGCGACGAUCAGUAGCCGACCUGAGAGGGUGAUCGGCCACAU